Molecule: ribosomal RNA, 250 nt
Filed under: uncultured prokaryote
Description: partial 16S ribosomal RNA
Rfam family: Bacterial small subunit ribosomal RNA
Source: RNAcentral
UACGUAGGGGGCGAGCGUCGUCCGGAAUGAUUGGGCGUAAAGGGCGCGUAGGCGGCCUGUUAAGUCUGGAGUGAAAGUCCUGCUUUCAAGGUGGGAAUUGCUUUGGAUACUGGCGGGCUUUAGUGCAGGAGAGGUUAUCGGAAUUCCCGGUGUAGCGGUGAAAUGCGUAGAGAUCGGGAGGAACACCAGUGGCGAAGGCGGGUAACUGGACCGCAACUGACGCUGAGGCGCGAAAGUGGGGGGAGCAAAC